Molecule: non-coding RNA, 30 nt
Filed under: Rattus norvegicus (Norway rat)
Lineage: Eukaryota; Metazoa; Chordata; Mammalia; Rodentia; Muridae
Source: RNAcentral
UGUAUGUCUUGAGGAUAGUCAGAUAGGGAA